Long non-coding RNA from Microtus oregoni (creeping vole), 10731 nucleotides. RefSeq lists it as uncharacterized. The transcript is spliced from 12 exons. The record is from RefSeq and is a predicted model, not a curated record. NCBI's taxonomy places the organism in Eukaryota, Metazoa, Chordata, Mammalia, Rodentia, Cricetidae.
GGGGGGCGGGGAAAUGUUCAUCCCACGUCAAGCUGCCCUGACCCUCGGACUGCAAGCCAGGUGCUUGUCGGGGUCGCCCCCACCCCCAUCCCGGAGGCCGGGUGCGGCACCUCCGACCGCCAGCCGCUCCUGCAUUAAAAUUUCAUGGGCGCUGCAGUAAAUGAGAAGACGAAGUCGACUGCACUGGGGGGCCGUAGGGAGGGAGGCUGCGGACCAGUACGGGGAGGAGUUUACGAGGGGAGGCGCUUGCAGGGGCUCCCCUAGUUUUGUUGAAAGCAGGGCACAAAGAGCCCUCUGCACUCCAGCCGCAGGAGCGAGGAGCCAAGCUAAAUGUACAUGGGCUUGGAGACCCCAAUACACACCAACCCACAAGGUUAGCAGACUGGGGCGUCCAGUGCAUCUCCGCACCCUCAUUGCGACAUCGCUCUGGAUGAUGAUCAGACAUCCUCCCUCGGGGAGCCACCGCUUUGGCAAAACAGCCCCGCAAAGUGGUGUGAGGCCUGUCUGUUCACAUGCACAUGGCUGCCGUGUGUCAGUGGUACCUGGGAAAGAAGCAAGUCUUCAUCUCCUGCAUGGAUGCAGGUGGCAGAGGUCAGCCAACAGCUUCUGAGUCUCCCACACCUCAAGACUUUCUGCUGGUUCCCAGGUCGCAGAGGAGAGCAGGGGAUUGGGAAGGGUCGUGGGCACCCUGUGAAGCAGCCUUACAGAUAAGUAUCCCUUCCCUAGUCCUGGGGCGCCAGCCUGUUCUCUGCUGGUGCAUGUGCAAAGGAGGGUUGGCCCUGGAACCCCAAGAGGGAGGGUGGAUGUCUGGUGGAUGGCUCUGGCUCUUGGGGAUGGCGUUUGUAAUCUUGGGUAGGCUCCUUGGUCUUCCACAUACACAGAGGCCUCCGCAGUGUUUCCCACAGGACAUGUUGCUUCUCUCUGCUCCAGGUUCCUGUGGCAGCAGGCUGAGAAUGUGCUACGAGAUGCCUCCCCUUCCUUGGAUCAGGCUCUGGAAUACAGAUGUAGUACAAUUGUCAGGAAAGAGCAAAUCUGAGCCCUGGGUUGAGAGUCAGGGUGUCUCUUCAGUUCUGGUGACUUACAGUGGCCUGGAUGAGCCCUGUACCUCCCUCUGACUCCAGACAUGUUCUCUGCUGUGGUCUAGGAAGGCUGCUUUCAUUCCCAGCCAUUGCCUUGUAUGGCAGGGCAGAUGUGUCUCAGGGUCCAGAGAGAGGGAUAGGCUUCCAGCAAUGGCAGCAGUACUGAGGUCAGAGUUCCAGGCCCCUACUCUGUCCGGACUCCCCCUCUGCUGGCCCUAAGUUGCCCAGCUUGCUCCGAGUUUUCCUGGAUCACUGAGGAAACCACAGUAUCCAUGUUUGUGAAGGAUGCUCUGGGUGGCAGGGAAGGAGGAGGCAGGUGGCUCUUGGACCAAGGCAGGGCUUGGGCGUGGUCCUCACCUGGGCCAGGAUUGGCUCUUCUGCCUUCCAGAGGCAUGCUGUGAUGUCCCUGUGGGGGAGGAGCUAGGAGCUAGGCCUGUGAUGAUGUCGAGGAUGUCAGGUAUGAGUGAGAAGUGUGUUUCCUUUUAGGAGGGUGGCGGGUCCUGGGAGCCAGAAGAGGAAGGCUUGCUGUACUUAGCCUCAGUGGGGGAGGAUGGACUUGAUCUGAACCCCAUAGUGGAGGCUCUGGGGGGUCAUCAUCUCACACAGAUAAGAAUCUGACCUUUAAGGCCGUGCUGGGUAUCCAGAGGAGAAUGACAGAGACGUGGUCCUACUCUCUGAGAUCUUCAGUAAGAAAACAUCACCACAGCUCAGCAAGGGGAUGUCUCCAGACCCUGGUCUGCUUUGGAGCCCUGGAUUUUGACCUCAUGGAAUGGAGAAGAACCUGUCUUCCUGAAGAUGCUGUCCUUUUCAAUGCCAGAAAUGGAGGCCCCUGGAGAAGGCCAUUUCUGGAAGAUACAUUACUUAGUACCCACCCUGCCUUUGAUGAACAGAUCCAGGGUGGGAGAGUGGGAGAGGGCACUGGAGGCCCUUUCUGAUCCCAUGUGGAUUGGAAUCUUCCUCCAGUGUCUGGAGGUGGGGUGGAGCUAAGCCCACUCCUAAGGACUUGUGGGUAGGGCAGGGACUUAUGGGCAUGGAGGAGGAGCUGCUGGGGAGGAGCCUGAUGUCUGUCUUUUGUCUGUUUUUCUUUUCGUCUGUUUGCUGCUUGAAUGGUGGUUCUGUUUGGGUGCUUCCUGGGUGAGGCUUAGCUACCUGCUGGUUGUGGUGAGAGGAUUGCCAGUCCUGGCCUGGGAGGAGUGGCUAGUCUCUGGGCAGCCAGCAGGGGACCCUGGAAAGAGAAAGGGUGAGUCCUGAGAUAAGGAGACCCAGUAGGGAGGCUUACUGGCAGCCAUAUCAUCUCCAGCUUCCUCAGUCACUAGAGUGGACUAUACCCUGCAGGGGCUACGGAACCUUUGCCCAGGAGACAGGGCUGCCCAGACCUCACCUCCAUCUGUGUCCAGUAGCUGCCGAGGGACUGAGGCUGGCAGACACCUGCACCCCUUCUCAGGGUGAGGUGACCUACUGUAACCCCUGUGUCGGUUCUCCACUGUUGGUCACAGUCCCUCCUGAAGGAGACGGCUCUCACAGUCCCUCCUGAAGGAGACGGCUCUACAGUGUGUGGCCUUCUUCAGGACAGCCUAGAAAGCCUUCUCCCUGGGGCAAGAGGGGCUGUGGGGCUUGGCAACAGAGACUCACACCCCCAGGCUUGAGGCCCUCAGAGCAAGUUCAAGGUGCCAGAAGUAUCUUUAUGUUCUCAUGUGGCCUUUCUCUGUGUCCAGAGUCAGUGGGCUCCUGGGAUUUGUCCCACAAGGACACAGUCAUUUGAGGACCCAGGCUUAAGACCUCUUCUGAGCUUAGGCACACUUUGUCUCUCCAUACACAUUGGGGCUGGGGAAUCCAGCCUGUGCCUCUUCGGGGACACAGUUUGGACUCUGACAGGGUUGUUUCACAAACAUAAGUAGCUAGAGAAUAGAAUUCCCAUAUUGGGAGGAACCGAUGAAUGUCAGAUGGGCCCACAGUUGCGGCUGCUGUGCCUGGUGUCUUGGGAACAUGGUGGCUGUAGCCAGUGCAGAGCCAGCUCAGGUCUUGGGGCACCCUCUGCUAUACAAAUCACCUUGCUCUACCAGCCUCCAUUUCCACUUUGUCAUGUGGGCCAUAUGCUCUCCUGGUGGCCCCGGCAGCUUCCAAGGGGUCCUGUGCCUGGUGUUCCAUACAAUCAUGCCCAUGUGGAAAUUUGGGGAGGUUAGGUUGAGGGCCCAUCUGGGUAGGUAGGGGGCUUUCUGACCCAGAGGCAUUGCUGCUUGGGUCACCCAUGUCUGUCUUCCUGACAAGCCUGGGGCUGCGGCUGCUGUUGGUCUCUCUGGUAGAUUUCCAUGUUUUCCAGAAGGGAAGGAACUCUGUUUCCUGCUGCCAAUAUUGAGUCCACUCUGGUUCUUUGCUGUGAGCCAGUGUGCUGGUGCUGUCCAGCCAUGCUUUAGACACUGGGGAUUUCCUAAUCAGCAGGGAGAGAAACUGCCCAGGAAGGGGUAGAUGAUGGGCAGUCAACAGAGGCCCCGAAAGGGAGAGACCGCAGCUCUGGCACUCUGGAGGGGUUUCCUACUCAGGCUGACCCUACCAGGGCCUUGGAGGCUGAGAAAGGUACGGUUUAACUGAGUACCCUUGGGAAGAAAUUAAAGCAAAAAAGCGGGAUUUUUCAGAGCCCAGAAAACACUAGUGAGCAAGCUUCAGAUACUCAGGGAGGGAUAGGAUGAAACAUUUCCUGUUUUUUUUUUUUUUUUUUUUUUUUCUGCCUACAGAAUUAUUCUCUUACCAAACCCUGUCUAGAAUGCUGGGAGACAGGUUGGUCAUCAGUAGUGCCAAGAGUGCUAAGUGGUAUAACCAGGGAAUGCGCAGGCACCUUGGGGUUGCCUGGGAAGGAAGGAAAUUGAAGGGGCCAGAGGUGAGAGGGGUCUCAGCCCAGUUCCCUGCAGUGUUUGUAGAGGAAGGCAGGCCAGGCCCGUGGGAGCAGCCAGAGGCCUGGGAGUUGACGAUGGGAGAGAUGUCCAUUUCCAAGCAUGGCAGCUCUGGGGUGGGGUGGGGAGGAUAGAUAUUUGGUGGAAAAGACGCUGAUGAGUGUGUGCGCCUGUGUGUUUGUGUACAUGUGUGCGCGUGAGAAGAUCCUGGCUACAACCAGGGAAGGGGGUUUGCCCUGAGGUCAAGCAAAGGACAUUUUCAGCAGAGCUGGAGUGUUUGUGGGGGCUCUGAAACCCACAGCAGAGAAACGGAAGCUCUGGGCUUCCAGCAGGGGUCACUGAGGUCAAGCUUGAUUCCUGGAGGGGGUGUGUGUUGAGGGGUGUAGAGGCAGACCCCCUGCCCUGGUCAGGCCCCAUGCCCAGGCUGGUGGGGACAGGAGGUCUCUGAUGGUGGUGGUGGGGUUUGAAGGGGUGGGGUGCAUGGUGUGAUUUAACCUACUAACCAACUCAGGGCUCGACCAGGACGCUGUGGCACGUGACAAGAUGCCUGGCCUUCUGUCAAUCGACUAAUCCACUAACCUGGCCUGAGCAUGCCCUACUAACCCUGCGGCAGCCAAACCCUACUAACUCUGCAGCCCACGGGCCUUCCCAGAGGCUGGGGCAGAUGAGGCUGCGGAAAGCCCUGCCUGGGGCCUGGGAUCUCUGUGCAGACCCAUCCUGCAGGGCAGGGCACGCUAAGAGACGCACCAACUCUGCUGCUGGGGACUGUGUACCAGCCGCCUACCCUCCGUGGUGGAAUGGGACCCUUCUACUCCCCUCGAUGCCUGUGGUGGGCAGCGGAGGUGCUGCUGCCCAGCAGGGACUUCAAAAUGGAAAAAGACAGGGUGAGGGCAGGCUGCAGGGAACUUGGUGCUAUGUCCAUCCCCUGAUCUCGGGUGUUCUGCACACAGACCCUUCUGCCUGAGGCAGACACAUGCUUUGAACCCUAACCCUAAUCUUUUCCUGUUCUCUUGUCAGCUUUCUCUCUCAUAGGCAAACUCUUUUGAUUACUAAUUGUCUAACCCUGGGGCACCCCACCUGCACCCCGCUGCCCCUUAACUAACUAACGGCCCCUGCUGCCUUCUUCUCUCCUAGUGGCUCCUGUGUGUGUCUGCUGAGGUACCCUGUCCGCUGUGCUGUGCUCUGACCUACUAACAGGUUUCUUUAAUCCAGCCCUGCCGAGCUCUGGGCCUCCUGGGGGCUGGUCCCUCCUUCUGGCAAACAGAUGUCCCUGGGCUGACCAGGCCAGGUCUGAGGCAGGGGACAACCAUAUUAGUGAUGCCCAGAGGAGGAGGAGGAGGCUGUCCUGUGGGCGUGGGACGCUGGGCUCCGAGCAUGACCUCUCUCCUCUGUGCACAGGACUGGUUGCCACCAGGAGUGGAUGGGACCAGGGGAUCUUGUGGGAGCCAGUGUGGGGCCUGUGUAUCUAGAGUGGGCGAUACCGGGCCCUACUUAGCCUAGGCCCUCUGUGAUUUGGGCCAGGUAGAAAGCGUUAGGAACCCAGGGACUGGCCAUCUUAUACAGGACCUCGAGGGUGUAUGUUUGAACCUCAAGCUGACAGAAUGGCAUGCCCUCUGUGGAAGCUGUAAGUGAGAGUUUCCUAAGUAGGAAGUAUGUGAAGGGGCCUUUCCCCGUGAAGCCACACAACAAAGUCAGGCAUUCCUCAAGUGAAGCCUGAGGAGAUGGCAUCCGGACACUGCAGUCUGAGAAGAGAUGGUCAGUGACCAGUAGGCAGUGAGCCUGAGGGACCCACACUUAGGAAGGACAGACUGCCAGCUGCCAUGGUGCACAGGUGUGGAAAUGCCUAUGGAAAGGGAUAUAGGUGCCCGGACAUGAAUCCCAAGGGCCCAAAGGCCACUGGGGAGGUCAUACCAGCUGUUGUGUUUUGUCCUGUUAAUGCUCAUGCCUCUGCCCCAGCCAGCCUCCCCCAGAGCCCGCCAGCUGCUAAGCCAGGGCCACACCUGGAGGUGAUUUCAUGCCUCACCUCCAGUAGGCUCAUGGCCUCUCUGGGCUAACCUCUGACUCCCUCGCACUAACUAGCUUUUACCCAGCUGAUUCCUGCCUCUCCAUGGCUGCCCCAGGGGCUGACCACUAACAGCCAGCCCUGCCUAUUGGGGAGGGGGGCGGCGGUAUGGGCUCAGGUUCCUGGCCUGGCUUUGGCCGGCUCCCAUUAACUACCCUUCCUCUGGACUAAUUCAUUGUUCCUUUCGGCAGAAAUGAAUGGCUGUGGCUUUCUCUCUAACAGGUCUCCUUUCCUCCCGCUAUCAACACUAAUGGCUUGGAUGGCGGCAUGGCCGGGAAGGGGCUGGUAUAGGUUCCGAGCUUGGUGGAUGUGGGGAGAACGUAGCUAAUGAGAGUAGAUCCCAUGACUGCUCUGAGUCAGAGCUUCCAAAUGUCAAUCAAGGUGGUACCCAGGCUGGGGUGUGGCUCAGGCCAGAAGAAAGGAUACUGUCAUCUACUGAGCAUGUCAGUGGGGUCAGACCUACAGUCAGCCUUCUAGAGGUGUGGCCACUGACCCAAUCCCAUAAUCUUAUGACCUGCAGGGGCUGUUAUCUCAUGGAAACUACAGCCUCAGUCCUUGUAAGCAGAGGUAGCUCAUAGGUUCCACCUAAGACACCUGUCUGAUUUUCUCAAAGGAUUUGUUAUUUACAGAAUCGCUAGAGACAAGACCAGGGUCUGCUUUGAGUCCUUGUUUGAGAGACUUACAGAGCUUUGUCCCUAUAAACACCAAAUCCAGACAGAAAAAUGCACAAGGGCUGUGAAUUCUCCAGCCACUCCCACCCUAGAAAAGCCCAGUUUCUCUAACUCUUCUAAGGCAACUCUUUUACACAGGGUAGGUGCACAGAGGCGAGGGUGUGUGGCUAGCAAAGGGAAGUCCUUGGGGAACGGGAGUAGUAGGGGUGUGACACCAGGCUGAGGGGGGCCAGAGGGUCUUGUUUCACUAAGUUGGUCUGGUCUGCAGGUCAGAGCCUAGAAUACUGGAGGCUCAGCGACAUUGUUUGGGCCUGUGGGUGGCCUCAGAGACAGGUUGCCUGGGUCAGUGGGUGCUGUGAGCACUGCUUUUGCAUGGGUUUAGGACUCACUGCAACAGUUAACCAGCCACCAGCGAGCCUGCAGGAGGCCAGAGCUACAGCAGAAAUGGAGGAGAUGCCUCUUAGGGAGGUGGGUUAGCAUACGAGAUAGGGCUGGGACGCACCGUUGGCUGCCCUCUCAUGGCCGCUCAGCUUCAUUUUACCCACAAUGCCCAGGAGCUUACGCAGCUGAGGCUGCCCUGCUGGGACCCUGCGCUGCACCAGGCUCUACUCCCGCUGCUGAGACUGGACCGCAGCCUUCUCAUCGAAGGCACUAGUUGUCCUCAGUAGCUGAAAUUCUGUGUGGUGGGACAGAGCUUGAGUGAGGCAGGCAGGGGGAGAGCUCUCAGAACAGGCGUCACACCAGCCAAACCUCGAUAGGCAGGGCACGGCUGAGUACAAGCCCCUGGUAGCUCAAGAUCAGAGAGGAUCGAAACAGAUUCUGGGGGAGCGUAUUAGGUGAGGGGCUCAGGAUGGGGCAAAUCCAAGGCCUUGCCAGCAAACGCGGGCUUCAUCCUUGGGGUGCCAGAUGUGGUCUGCACUUGUAAUUCGAGCACUAAGGCGCUAGAGACAGAUCUGUGGGGUCCACCGGCCUGUCAGCCUACCUCAUCAUAUGGUCUGAGCCGGCGGUGGGGCUGGGGUUUCAGGCUACUUCCGUCUCUUCAGCCCAGCAGGGAGGAGCUUGCAGUGUGUCCGGCCCAUAUUCUAGACUGCACCAGAACUUCUGGUCACUAGGAAGACCCUUUGGUCCAACUGGGAAGGAGCAGGGUUCAUAGUGCUCACCCUCAACCCUCAUUGGGGUUCAUGAGAGAUACCUGGAAAGCAAGGGACAGAGGUGACAGGAACUUAAGACUUAAUACAGGCCCCAGGCCCCAAUGGUGUAUGCCUCCUCCAGAAGAUCUGGAGGUGGGAGAUGUUGACAGUGGUGUGUGCGUGUGUGUGUGUGUGUGUGUGUGUGUGUGUGUGUGUGUGUGUGUGCAUGCAUGAGGGGUGGGAGAAGAGAGUAUGACUAGAGAAAGUCGAGUCACUGAAGGCGCAUUCUCAUUUGUUCCUGGGCUGCUCCUCCUCCUCUCCUUUACUGAACUUUAGGCUUGUUUUGAGCAGGAGUCUAUAGGCAACAGAGCAGCCUUCUGUCUGAAGGUGUCAAUAUCUCUUUACAGCCUGACUGGAGGGAGGGGCCACUGUGGAUUCUGCCCCAGGGUGGGCUGGUGGCAGGUUGGGAACCCUGGUGCAGUCCUCAGGGUCCCCCAACGGCCUCUCUGGAAUCUGUCCUAGGGCCCAUUGUUUUAUGACAGCUCAUCAAAGACGUGUGAAUUGUUCCUGCUGGGGAAUGCUGAGUGUGGGCCCUGGAAGCCUGCUGUAAAGCCUGGAUUGUUCUGUGGAUUCACCCACAGUUACUGGGUCUUUUGAUGUUCAUGCUUGUUGCUGCAUCUGUGUAAGAUGCCAUUUUGAUAUUAAAACUGGCACACACUGGAGAGUGACUGGUUUAUGAGGUGGAGGGAUGUGUUGUCUUGGGAAGGGACAUUCAGCGGGGCUUCUGAGACAGGGUUAGCGGAGUUGCCAAGUCAGCCCAACAAAAGAAGCACUCCUUAUUUUAUUAAAACAUUUGGAGCCAAUGUGGCAGCACAGGGCUUUAAUGCCAGCACUCAGAUCUCUUUGAAUUUGAAGCCAGAAAACCCUGUCUCAAAAAACCAAAACCCAAUCAACCUAAAACCAUACCAAAACAAACCAACCAAACAAAAAGAAACAAAAAUGAGAAACAAGCCACUUGGCUCACCAGGUAGAAUGCUUGCUAUCCAAACUUGGUGGUGAGUUUAAUCCCUGAAACCCACAGUAGAAGGAGGAAACAGGUUCCUGAAAGGCGGUCCUUCGACCUCUCCACGUGUGCAUCCUGGAUCGUCAUCCCCCACGUGUGCAUCCUGGGCUGUCAUCCCCCACGUGUGCAUCCUGGAUUGUCAUCCCCCACGUGUACAUCCUGGGCUGUCAUCCACCAUAUGUGCAUCCUGGAUUGUCAUCCCCCACGUGCGCAUCCUGGAUUGCCAUCCCCCACGUGUACAUCCUAGGGUGUCAUCUCCCAAGUGUGCAUCCUGGAUUGUCAUCCCCCACGUGUGCAUCCUGGAUCGUCAUCCCUCACGUGUGCCUUUUUUUUUUUUCUGUAAUGUUGUGACAUGUAACCUCCUUGGUGGAAGAGAAAAAUGUGCUCGGUGCACGUCUGUGAAAGGAUAAUGAAUAUCUGACACACUCUACUAUUUCCCUUGGCAGCACCAGUGACAGACAUUACUUGUUGAUCACCCAUCUCUCUUUGGGAACUGAGCCAUGGUCUGAAAAAGUUCUUUAGUUGCCGUGGGAUCCAAUUGCAGUUGAAUAUUUUUGGAAGCUUGGCAACAGAAACAUCACUGUGUUUGUCCUACAGUGGAGAACAAGGCAUGAUCCUAAUGUCACAGAACUGCACUUCUUAACCAAGCUCCAGGAGCUUGGAAUAUUAUCUUUAACUCCUGCCCGGAUGGUCUUUGGAGAACGGAUCGCUUCUCAUGAUGACAGGUUCCUGCUACACUUAGCGGACAAAACUGGGGGCAUAAUUGUAACAAAUGAUAACUUCAGAGAGUUCAUGACUGAGUCGGUGUCCUGGAGAGAAAUUAUUACAAAAAGGAGUUUAGCAUGCAGCUUUCCUUGUUGCUGCCGCUGUGAACGUGUCAGUCAUGAACUGCUGACGAGCGGUGAAUGCUGGCUUCCAUGAGCCCACCGAAGACUUGACACUCGAGCGGCCGCUACCCACAAGAAGCGAGAGUGCUGUGCUGUGCUGAGGGAGAAGGCAGAUCUGCCGUAGAUCUGAAGCAAAUAGGGAAUGUGCAGGGCAGUGUGGGCUGCUUCAGUACACGUUCGUGGGGGACAUAUUUAUGGUUCCUGAUGACCCUCUGGGAAGAAACGGACCUCGGCUAGAUGAAUUUCUUCGAAAGGAGGGCUUUCUUAGAGACAUGCAGCCACUACUCAAUGCCCUGCCAGAUGUGGGCAUGUUUGAUCCUGGCUUCUGGAGCCCCAACACCCAAGUAGCCAACACCAGCUACCAGCCUCCAUCCCGGAACCAGGGAGCCUUUUCAGGCCCUUGGCUUCCUCAGCAGCCCCACUUUACACCCCUGGCCACUGUUCCCAGUAUGCAGCAGAACCUUCUCGUACCAGCACAGAGAUCUUCCGCAGAGACCAGCGAGCUGAGGGCGGCCCUGCUGAAGAUCUUCCCUGACUCUGAGCAGAAACUGAAGAUCCUGGUAGCUCAUCCAUACAUGAAAGACCUGAAUGCCCUUUCUGCCCUGGUACUGGACUGAAGGCUGGGCUGAGAGCCCACUGCUGAUGGGGACCAGAGGGAGCUGCCUACUGUGGAGUCCCGUACUGGGGAGAAGCUUUCCAGAGUGCACAGUGCUGCUCUUGGUAGGAGAAGGAAGGGAUGUGUUUUAUAUAUACAAAAGUCUGGAUUUUCAAAGCCAGCUUUUUUCUAUAUAUAAAUUAUGCUGCUAUUACAGAUUGAACAUUUUCUGUAAAAGAAAAGUACAUUUUCUGCCUGUUCAGAACUGUUUAAUAGCAGUUACUCUUGAGUGUAUUUACAACUUUAUGUUUUUUAAACUAUUUUCCUUAAAGCUGAAGAAAAGUUGACAAAUGAAU